GUAAAGCACUUUCAGUAGGGAGGAAGGUAGUGUAGUUAACACCUGCAUUAUUUGACGUUACCUACAGAAGAAGCACCGGCUAACUCCGUGCCAGCAGCCGCGGUAAUACGGAGGGUGCGAGCGUUAAUCGGAAUUACUGGGCGUAAAGCGCAUGCAGGCGGCCUGUUAAGUCAGAUGUGAAAGCCCGGGGCGUUAACCUCGGAAUUGCAUUUGAAACUGGCAGGCUAGAGUCUUGUAGAGGGGGGUAGGAAUUUCUAGGUGUAGCGGUGAAAUAGCGUAGAGAUCUGAAGGAAUACCAGUGGCGAAGGCGGCCCCCUCGGACAAAGACUGACGCUCAGAUGCGAAAGCGUGGGGAGCAAACAGGAUUAGAUACCCUGGUAG
This 381-nucleotide ribosomal RNA is filed under the name uncultured bacterium. Its description in RNAcentral is "bacterial SSU rRNA". It matches the Rfam family "Bacterial small subunit ribosomal RNA", at positions 425 to 793 of the family's 1533-position model. The record is from RNAcentral.